RNAcentral lists this transfer RNA (76 nucleotides) under Clostridiales bacterium. RNAcentral describes it as "tRNA-Lys". It matches the Rfam family "tRNA". Rfam says of the family: Transfer RNA (tRNA) molecules are approximately 80 nucleotides in length. Their secondary structure includes four short double-helical elements and three loops (D, anti-codon, and T loops). Further hydrogen bonds mediate the characteristic L-shaped molecular structure. tRNAs have two regions of fundamental functional importance: the anti-codon, which is responsible for specific mRNA codon recognition, and the 3' end, to which the tRNAs corresponding amino acid is attached (by aminoacyl-tRNA synthetases). tRNAs cope with the degeneracy of the genetic code in two manners: having more than one tRNA (with a specific anti-codon) for a particular amino acid; and 'wobble' base-pairing, i.e. permitting non-standard base-pairing at the 3rd anti-codon position. Lineage: Bacteria; Bacillati; Bacillota; Clostridia; Eubacteriales. The record is from RNAcentral.
GGCCCAUUAGCUCAGUUGGCAGAGCACCUGAUUUUUAAUCAGGGUGUCCCGAGUUCGAGCCUCGGAUGGACCACCA